AAUGUUGGCAAGAGGCGAUGAGAUAUUUGGUGCGCUUCCAAACAGGUUCUAGCGUUGAAACGACGGACGAUGACAAGAAGAGAAAGAGAAAGAGAAUCUCAAAUUCCAAGUACAGACCCCAGGCCUCUUCUGAUGAAGAGGAGUCUAGUCUUCCAGAUGCACCAGCAGUGCUGUCGUUUGGACAACCUCUUUUGAGCUUUGAAAACAUUGUUCCUGGUAACAAGGUUUCAGUGCUGCCCGAUGCUCCAGAAGUUGCAUCGAUUCCAGAAAACCAGGAAAAUGUUGUGCCAUCUGUAGACUUCAGAGGUGAACCAGGUUUCUCCCCAGAAAUUCAGACUCCACUUCACAGAGCCAAGAGUUUGAGUACAAGACACUUGACUGGUUACUCGCCGCAGCAGUUUCUGGAUGAAAGGUGUCGAGGUGUGUUGUACAUUCCAUUAGCAUUGCACAGUUCAAUUAUAGUUUCAUUACUGAAUAUGCAAUACUCUGCACUGAAGUUAAAGCUGUUAUGUUUGCUCUUCCAGCUCGUCAAGUACUAAGCUUUACACCCCCCAGCAGCAAAUUUACCCUGGCAGCAUAUGGGUGAAAACGCUGGAGGAGAAAGUCAUCGCUCUGUAAUUGGCCCUUGGACUCCCCUGGCAUCUCGUGUACAGCAUGAAGUUUUCAGCUAUGAAGAUUUCCAGAGAUUCCAGAAUGAAAAACAAGCCCUUAGGGAGGAGAACCAAGCCCUUAGGAAGGAGAACCAAGCCCUUAGGGAGGAGAACCAAGCUCUGAGGGAGGAGAACCAAGCUCUGAGGGAAAGCACUGCACGAGCAGCUUCGGAUGACAGCGGCUCACUUCAAGAGCAGGUGAAGCAAGUUGGGACAAUGUUGAAGACGUUUGCUCGCACUGGGCAAUCAGGUGCAGAUCAGACCUUAAUGCUGCGACGUCUUGGAGAGUUUGGCGAUGUUGUGCCUAGCAUGGACAACAAAAUGGACACUAUGCUGCAACAUUUCAGUGCCAAUGUGUCUGUUGGAGAGUUAUCCCUGCCAGGGGAUCUGUUACUCCCCCUAGACACCCAGGAAGAUUUGGCGUUGCUUGACAACAGUUUGAGGCAGGAUAAAGAGCUCCAGGAACGAUUUCUUCGGUUUUUGGCAAUCAAAUGUGGGAGGGACCUAAAGACAACCGUCUGGCGGAUGCUUCAAAGUAUCUUCUCUAAUCACCUUUCCAUCAAUACAACCUGGACUGGAGUUGGGGAUAAAGCAUGUUUUAGAGACAUGUUCCUGAAGACCAUUGUUCAAAGUAAGUUGGAUGUAAAAAAAAAAAAAAAAAAAAUGUUUAGUAGAUGUGUAUGGCAUUAUGCCAUUCAAAUGGAAUGA
This 1358-nucleotide long non-coding RNA is filed under the name Carassius auratus (goldfish). RNAcentral describes it as "lncRNA (ENSCARG00000066239.1)". Lineage: Eukaryota; Metazoa; Chordata; Actinopteri; Cypriniformes; Cyprinidae. The record is from RNAcentral.